This 465-nucleotide ribosomal RNA is filed under the name Vreelandella stevensii. RNAcentral's name for it is "partial 16S ribosomal RNA". It matches the Rfam family "Bacterial small subunit ribosomal RNA", at positions 338 to 795 of the family's 1533-position model. Lineage: Bacteria; Pseudomonadati; Pseudomonadota; Gammaproteobacteria; Oceanospirillales; Halomonadaceae. The record is from RNAcentral.
CCUACGGGCGGCAGCAGUGGGGAAUAUUGGACAAUGGGCGCAAGCCUGAUCUAGCCAUGCCGCGUGUGUGAAGAAGGCCUUCGGGUUGUAAAGCACUUUCAGUGGGGAAGAAAGCCUUGGGGCUAAUACCCUCGAGGAAGGACAUCACCCACAGAAGAAGCACCGGCUAACUCCGUGCCAGCAGCCGCGGUAAUACGGAGGGUGCGAGCGUUAAUCGGAAUUACUGGGCGUAAAGCGCGCGUAGGCGGUCUGAUAAGCCGGUUGUGAAAGCCCCGGGCUCAACCUGGGAACGGCAUCCGGAACUGUCAGGCUAGAGUGCGGGAGAGGAAGGUAGAAUUCCCGGUGUAGCGGUGAAAUGCGUAGAGAGCGGGAGGAAGACCAGUGGCGAAGGCGGCCUUCUGGACUGACACUGACGCUGAGGUGCGAAAGCGUGGGUAGCAAACAGGAUUAGAUACCCUUGUAGUC